GCACAGAAAUGCUCUCCAUACCAUGCUGCAGAGGGAGGGAUGGCAUGAGUGAGUCAAGACUGUCUUUCCUAUCUCUUCAAUGCCUCUUUCAGUGAUACAAGUUAAAACCAGGUUUGUGAACAUCCACGUGCAGAGAUUGGAUCUAUGGAAACGGCACUGCUCCAGAGACUGCGCUGAACCAGCAAAGAAUGAACUGUGAUAACAAGCAGGGAGCUCUGUCCCUGAGAACGCCUCACAGAAAGACUGAAACCACAGUUGCUGACCUGAGAGGGGAGCAGGAGGUGGAAACUGGAAGGCAGUAGUCUAACAUGAGAGCUGAAGAGGCUACACAGAGAUGGGAAGAUCUCCUAAUGCACUGAUCAUUUGUUGUCUCACAUGGUUAGGUAGAUUAUCAUACCACCUGCAAAUAAUUACAGUUUUGUCUUUUUCUUCCCCAUACUUAUACCUCUCAUUUUAAAAUUUAUUUUGUAUCAUUUUGUCUAGGGACCUCAGUACAAUUUUAAAUAAUCAUGGUUACAAUAACCAAAUGUAUCCAGCUUAGAUGGAAAUGUCAGUGUUUCAACAUAAAGUAUUUAUUAUAGAUUAAGUAUUUAUUAUAGAUGGCAGCAGAUACCCUUAUCAAAUUCAAAAAGGUUGGUUCUAGUGCCAAUUGACUUAGAGUUUUUCUUUCUUUCUUUCUUUUUUGUUUUUGGUUUAAAAUUAGGAGUGUAUCAGUUUGUCAGGGUUCUCCAGAGAAACAUAACCAAGAAGAUGGAUGAUGGAUAGAUGGAUGGAUGGAUGGAUGGAUGGAUGGAUGGAUGGAUGGAUGGAUGGAUAGACAGGCAGGCAGGCGGAUGGAUGGAUGGAUAGAUAGAUAGAUAGAUAGAUAGAUAGAUAGAUAGAUAGAUAGAUAAAUUUUAAGGAACUGGCUUACACCAUUGCAGAAGCUGGCAAAUCCAAAAUCUGCAGGGUAGGCUUGCAGGUUGGAGAGUCACGGAAGACCCAAUGCAGCAGUUUGAGCUUGAAAGUGGUCUGCUGGGAGAAUGUCUUCUUCCUCUGGGGAGGUCAGUCUUUUUUCUCUUAAGACUUCCAACUGAUUGAAUGAGGCCUACCCACAUUACAACAGGUAAUCUGCUUUAUUCUAAGUCUAUUGAUUUUAAUGUUAAUUUCAUCUAAAAAAUAUCUUCACAGAAACAUCUAGAAUAGUGUUUGACCAAAUAUCUGGGUACCAUAGCCUAGAGAAGUUGACACAUAAAAUUAACCGUCACAAAGAGUUGGAUUUUAUCAAGCACAUGUUUGGUGGAGAAACCUAAUCCGAAUGCACUGAAAGAGUUCUAAUUAGACAUUUCAUGGGCCUCUGAGGCUCCCUGAGGAAAGUAAGAGAGAAGGUCAAAACACAUGUCCCUCUUGGAAUGGGGGCCUGAGUCCAUGCUGCAGGGAGCUGGCUGUGGAGAGUGAAGCCCUUUCAGAGGUCAGCACCCACUGACCUGAGCCACUGAGGAUUCUGCAAUGGACUAACAGAGUGGCCAUGGUAGCAGGAAUGGAAGCUUUGUAUGGACCCAAUGGGCUCCCUUCUUCAAGGAUUGUGUAGCUAGUGCCACCAAUAAAGGCCAAUCAACCACCAGCAGUGAUCAACACAGAGCCCGCAGUAUGACACCGUCCUUGGAAAGACCACCAAGAUACUUUGUGGCAUAUUCAUUAUUUUAGAUCUUUUCCACUCUGGAGAGGGUAAUGAUUUACCUUUGAAGUGACUAUUCCUGGUGUGGAUUUAUCCACAGUGCCUUCAACCAUCUGAGGGCUUAUAGAAUGUCUAGUCUAUUGGCAUCAGAUCCUAUACAACACUGCCUCAGACCAACAUGCAUAAUUUAUGGCAAAGGAGAUGACAAAUGGACUCAAUCAUAGGCUUCACUGAUUUUAUCACGUACACCAUCAUCCUGAAAUUUCUAGAUCUCCCCACUACUUCUUAAUUUGGAUGAAGAAUUACCCUAUAGGACAGGGGUCAGCAAACUGUGACCUGUGCCUUGAAUCCAGUCUGCUGCUUGUUUUGGUAGAUAAAGUUUGAUUGGAACACAGUCAUGCCCAUUUAUUUAUGUAUUGUAUAUAUUUGCUUUCACAGUAUAAUGUCAGAAUUGAGAAGUUAUGAAAGAAACUGCAUGGACUGCAAAUUUACUAAAAGCGAUUCUCCUGCCUCAGCCUCCAGAGUAGCUGGGAUUACAAGAGUGCACCAUCACACCAGCUAAUUUUUGUAUGUUUAGUAGAGAUGGGGAUUCACCAUGUUGGUCAGUCUGGUCUCAAACUCUUGGCCUCAGGUGAUCCACCCACGUCGGCCUCUCAAAGUGCUGUGAUUACAGGUGUGAGCCACCCUGCAUGGCCAGCAUCUGUCUUUUACUUGAGCAUAGGUCAGAUUUUUCAGGUCUUAGUAUGUCUAGUAAUUUGGAUUUUGCCUGGACAUUUUGUGUAUUAUACUGUGAAGCUCUGGGUCUUAUUAAAAUCCUCUGGAG
Molecule: long non-coding RNA, 2480 nt
Filed under: Homo sapiens (human)
Lineage: Eukaryota; Metazoa; Chordata; Mammalia; Primates; Hominidae
Description: HSALNT0146001
Source: RNAcentral